UUUGAAGAAGGCGACUUUGUAGCUGGUCCUUGUCUAUGUUCCUUGGAACAGGACGUCAUAGAGGGUGAGAAUCCCGUGUGGCGAGGAUCCCAGUUAUUUGUAAAGUGCUUUCGACGAGUCGAGUUGUUUGGGAAUGCAGCUCUAAGUGGGUGGUAAAUUCCAUCUAAAGCUAAAUAUUGGCGAGAGACCGAUAGCGAACAAGUACAGUGAUGGAAAGAUGAAAAGAACUUUGAAAAGAGAGUGAAAAAGUACGUGAAAUUGUUGAAAGGGAAGGGCAUUUGAUCAGACAUGGCGUUUGCUUCGGCUUUCGCUGGGCCAGCAUCAGUUUUAGCGGUUGGAUAAAUCCUCGGGAAUGUGGCUCUGCUUCGGUAGAGUGUUAUAGCCCGUGGGAAUACAGCCAGCUGGGACUGAGGAUUGCGAC
This 421-nucleotide ribosomal RNA is filed under the name Kluyveromyces marxianus. RNAcentral describes it as "eukaryotic LSU rRNA". It matches the Rfam family "Eukaryotic large subunit ribosomal RNA", at positions 149 to 633 of the family's 3401-position model. The record is from RNAcentral. Lineage: Eukaryota; Fungi; Ascomycota; Saccharomycetes; Saccharomycetales; Saccharomycetaceae.